UGUAUCCAUUUCACUAAGAUUGUCAAAUUUGUUGGCAUAUAGUUGGGCAAAAUAAUUCCUAAUGGUUCUUCUUAGAUCUUAUAAAGUGUUGUGACACCUGUUCCUCAGGAUGGCUGCUGUCCUAAGGUGCCCUUCCAGGUGAGUUUGUUCUUUUUGCUCAUGCUUUUGCUCAGCUCUCCCUCACCAUUCCUCAAAGGUAAGCUCUACUCCAGCAGUGUUGAUUUUUUUUAAGUUUAUGGAAAAAAUUACUCUGGUGCCUUAGCCAGCAGUUUCAAUUUUGUCAUCCGCCUAAGCCAAGGUGCUUCUAGCAGUUUGAAAUUUCAUCUUCUUUUAUACCCACCUUCCACACAAAAGGCCUCUUCUGACUAGCAGUCUUAAUACCUUCUUCUUUGACUGUUCAAAGAGUUUGUUUUCCCCUUGGCAUUAUUAAGGUAUGGUGAGUCAGUCCUACUUGCACCUGUUUUCCCAUUGUGCCUAACCAGACUGCCUCACACUUAUGUCCCUCUAUAUUUGAGGGUUCAGAGUGGGCCCAUGCACUCAACCUGCCUUUAGUCUUCCAUCUUCCUCUGUGGCAGGUGGACUGAAUUAUGCAAAUUACUGCAGACUGCUUCUCCCAAAAUCAAGGAGAAAGGAACAGAACUAACAUUUCCUAAGAGUCCAUGUAGAGACUUUUGAGGUUUUGUGCCUCAAAGACAGAGGGGGUAGCCUUCCUGUGGGGGCAAAAAUGUGUGCCCUUUCUAUAGAAACUGGGAUAGGGGGUAAAACACUAGAUGUUUCUUUUUUUCUCCUAUAGGCAAGAGGAAGCCGCUGAAUGUUGUUAACUAGGACAGUGUCAUAGACAUGUCUUGGGAUGAUUGUUUUGGCAGUGGUGUCAAGGAUGAGCUGCCAAAGGAAGAGACGGAAGCCGUGUGACCAAUUGGAAGGCUAUGGCAAUAAUCCAGAGUCAUCGAAGUGUGGCAAUGCAAAAAUCAAGACAACUAGUGAUGGCCCCGGGGGACAGUGGAUGACUUUGUUGCCUUCUGUAUCUGACCCAGCUCUAAGCUCUACACAGUGCCUGCUUCAGCCACCUUCAUGACUAUUGGAAUAAAUCGUUCUCAUCUGCUCAUUCUGCCAGAGAAAGUCUUCACAUGCUUCACCAGUGGCAUGAGGCCUGUUGAUUCCCCUCAACUUGGUUUAGCCAGUCUGCCAAGAUGGUUUACCGGAUGUGGCUGCUGCACAUACUACAGCUUCUUGGAGCCACAGAUCUGUACAUGAAUAGAUGCAAAGGAGGCAUUUGGUGGAAUGGAGAGCUAUGAUCAGCAUAUUCAAGGAUUUAUUGGUGCAUGUUUAACAACAGAAAAAGAAAAAAGAAAUAAGAAAAAACAGCACCCUUGUAACAUAUGCCUUAGUCAAGUGAAACAAAUUUAGGCGAUCUUCACUUACCUGUUCGUGAAAGUCAGCGUUAUUCCACAAAACCUGGGUGUUGAUCCCAAGAGCAGUGUCAUAUCUCUUUUGCCCAGGGAAUACUGGCUCCUGCUAGCCUGUUUCUGGUGACAAACUGAAAGGCAUACUCUUCUUAACUGCUAUCUUUGCACUUGAAGGUUCUACUAUUUGAAAAUAGAAUGAAGGACCGUGAGCACUUCCAAUCAUCCUUUAAUGUGGGGGAAUGUCCAUUAUUACUGUCUUCUACAUCAGCUUGGGGUUCCUGAGCUACCUAAGGUUUGAAGUAGCUAUCCAUGCUAGCAUAACCCAAUUGUGGAUCUGGCCCAUUUCCAAGCGGUUAAGACCAUCUUCAUUCCUGACUCUAUAAUACAAGAUGUUAACUAUCACCCCCGGCUUCAUAUCAUCUGCCAAUUUUUUAAGCAAUCUUUCUUCUUGACUUGCUUUGAGAUUUGGACCAGCAAUUUGCACUCCCUGAAUACUUCCAACGGGAAAUGAUUUCUCGACUUGA
Phascolarctos cinereus (koala) is the source of this 1930-nucleotide long non-coding RNA. RefSeq lists it as uncharacterized. The record is from RefSeq and is a predicted model, not a curated record. NCBI's taxonomy places the organism in Eukaryota, Metazoa, Chordata, Mammalia, Diprotodontia, Phascolarctidae.